AUUGAACGCUAGCGGGAUGCUUUACACAUGCAAGUCGAACGGCAGCGCGGACUUCGGUCUGGCGGCGAGUGGCGAACGGGUGAGUAAUGUAUCGGAACGUGCCCAGUAGCGGGGGAUAACUACGCGAAAGCGUAGCUAAUACCGCAUACGCCCUACGGGGGAAAGCCGGGGAUCGUAAGACCUUGCACUAUUGGAGCGGCCGAUAUCGGAUUAGCUAGUUGGUGAGGUAACGGCUCACCAAGGCGACGAUUCGUAGCUGGUUUGAGAGGACGACCAGCCACACUGGGACUGAGACACGGCCCAGACUCCUACGGGAGGCAGCAGUGGGGAAUGUUGGACAAUGGGGGCAACCCUGAUCCAGCCAUCCCGCGUGUGCGAUGAAGGCCUUCGGGUUGUAAAGCACUUUUGGCAGGAAAGAAACGUCGCGGGCUAAUACCCCGUGGAACUGACGGUACCUGCAGAAUAAGCACCGGCUAACUACGUG
RNAcentral lists this ribosomal RNA (484 nucleotides) under uncultured bacterium. Its description in RNAcentral is "partial 16S ribosomal RNA". It matches the Rfam family "Bacterial small subunit ribosomal RNA", at positions 30 to 507 of the family's 1533-position model. The record is from RNAcentral.